RNAcentral lists this ribosomal RNA (3093 nucleotides) under Streptomyces sp. RLB3-5. RNAcentral describes it as "23S ribosomal RNA". It matches the Rfam family "Bacterial large subunit ribosomal RNA". The record is from RNAcentral. Lineage: Bacteria; Bacillati; Actinomycetota; Actinomycetes; Kitasatosporales; Streptomycetaceae.
AGUGGACGCGAGCAUCUGUGACCAAGGUUUUUGGAGCACUGAUGGAUGCCUUGGCACAGGAACCGAUGAAGAAGGACAUGAGGAGCCCGAUGGUCCCCGAGGGAGUCGUCAACCAGGCUUGUGAUCGGGGUUUCCGAUGGAAACCCGGCGGUCGUCAUGGGCUGUCUCACCCAUACCUGGUCCACAUAGGGCAUGUGGAGAGGGAACGCGGGAAGUGAAACAUCUCGGUACCACCGGGGAAAGAAAACAACCGUGAUUCCGUGCGAGCAGUGGCGCAAACUGGAUGAGCCAAACAACAUGCGUGUGAGACCCGGCAGGGGUUGUUGCGUAUAUGUGGGGUUGUGGGAUUUCUCUUUCACGGUCUGCUGACCGUGAAGUAUGGAACAAACCGUUGAUGUAGGCGAAGAAGGACAUGCGAAAGACACGUAGGGGUAAGACCCCAUGUGUCCAGAAACGUCAACAGCUCGUUGAAGAAACACCAAAUGGCACGGGGCCAAAUCCCGUAUAUGAAUCACAGGACCACCCGCUAAAGCCCAUUCCUGGUGACCGAUAGCGGAUGUACCCGUGAGGGAAUGGUGAAAAUACCGCGGGCGAGUGAAAUAAUACCUGAAACCGUGUGCCUACCGUGUGGGCGUUGCGCAUUGGUUAUCAGAUACUCGUGGCCUUGACAGAAUAAACCUGUUCCAGAGUUUCGGUGUGUUGCGAGGUUAACCGUGUGGGAAGCCGUGAAGAAGCAGUCCAGGAAGACGAUUUAGUAGCGCGCUCAAGACCUGAAGCGGAGAUGAUCUGGCCAUGGGCGGGUUGGAAGCGGCUGUAAAGAGGUCGUGGAGGACCGAACCCACCAGGGUUGAAAACCUGGGGGAUGACCUGUGGUUAGGGGGGGUGAAAGUCCAUUCAAACUCCGUGAUAACUGGUUCUCCAAAGCAUUCCGGUGGACAGCGUCGUGUGUUUCUUGCCGGAGGUGAGCACUGGAUGGAGCGAUGGGCCUACCCGAUUACGACCUUAAGCCAGCUCCGAAUGCCGGUAAGUGAGAGCGCGCGCAGUGAUGAACUGUGGGGAUAAGCUCCAGCGUCGAACAACCCAGAGCAUCGACUAAGGCGCCCUAAGCGUGCGCUUAAGUGGGAAAAAAAGGAUGUAUCGCAGGUGAACUCAAUGGGUGGCUUAACCAAGCAGCUCCUACCAGAAAAGUCAUGUAAUCUCACUGGUCCUGAAGUGAUUCCGCGCCGACAAUGUAGCGGGGCUCAAAAGCGCCACCGAAGUCGUAUCAUUCUAUGCCCUAACGGCGGCUGCUUGGUGGUGGGGGAAGCGUCGUGGUGCCGGGUGAAAACCCGCCGGAAGGCAGUGGGUGGACGGUUCAGGUGAAAUGCUGGCUGAUAGCAAUACACACGUAGAAACGUGUGCGCCGAUUGACUAAGGGUUCCUGGUCAAAGCUGAUCUGCCCAGGGAAAGUCGGGACCUAAAGGCGAGGCCGACCGGCGUAGUCGAUGGAUAACCGGUUGAUAUUCCGGUACCCGCUUUAGUGGCGUCAAACGAACCGAGGCGUCGCCGUCCGUGAGCCCGCUUCCGGGCAAGGGGGGGGGAGUGAGUGGAACGACAAACCGGACCAGACCUGCAAGUAGGUGAGUGAUGGGGUGACGCAGGAAGACUCCAUCGGGCGGUGGUUUGUCCCGGGGAGGUAGGUGUGAAGCCGUGAUGGGGCAAAUCCGUCACACAUUAAAGGCUGAGACCUGAUGCCGAACCGAUUGUGGUGAAGUGGAUGAUCCUAUGCUGUCGAAAAGCCUCUAGCGAGGUUUCUAUGGCGGCCCGUACCCUAAACUCGACUCGGUGGUCGGGUAAGAAAUACAAGCGUUCGGGUGGUGAACUGGUUGGAACUCGGCAAAAUGCCCUAACUUCCCCGGGAGGGGGCCAUCACCAGUGGGAGGGUUUACUCGCCUGAGCUGGGGUGGCCGCAAGACUCAACGAGCGACUGUUUAUAAACAUGGUCUUUGCAAGCCCAAAGGCGUCAUAUACGGACUGACGCCUGCCAGAUGCUGGGAACGUUAAAGGGACCGGUUAGUCUCUUCGGGGUUUGGCGAAGCUGAGAAUUCGCGCCAGUAAUUGCAGCGGUGGUAACUAUAACUUCAUCCUAAGGUAGCGAAAUUCCUUGUCGGGUAGUUCCGACACCUGCACGAAUAGCGUAAUGCGACUUCUCGACUGUCUCAACCCUAGGCCCGGUGAAAUUACACUACAAGAAAUGAUGCUCAUUUCGCCAAGGACGGAAGAACCCGGGACCUUUACUACAGUUUGUUUGGUGUUCGGUUCGACAUUGUAGGAUAGGUGGGGGAACUUUGAAGCGGCAGCGCCAACUGUUAUGUUGAGUCUCGUUGAAAAUAUUCUCACUCUGGUCGUGCUGGAUGUCUAACCUGGGUCAUUCGAUCCGGAUCGGGACAGUCUGAUAGGUAGUUUAACUGGGGCGGUUGCCUCUAAAAUAACAGAGCGCCCAAGGUUCCCUCAGCUGUUGGUAAUCAGGUGUUGAGUUAUGACGGGAGCUUGACUGUGAGACCGACGGGUCGAGCAGGGACGAAAGUCGGGACUAGUGAUCCGGCGGUGGCUUGUGGAAGCGCCGUCGCUCAACGGAUAAAAGGUACCCCGGGGAUAACAGGCUGAUCUUCCCCAAGAGUCCAUAUCGACGGGAUGGUUUGGCACCUCGAUGUCGGCUCGUCGCAUCCUGGGGCUGGAGUCGGUCCCAAGGGUUGGGCUGUUCGCCCAUUAAAGCGGUACGCGAGCUGGGUUUAGAACGUCGUGAGACAGUUCGGUCCCUAUCCGCUGCGCGCGUAGGAAUAUUGAGAAGGGCUGUCCCUAGUACGAGAGGACCGGGACGGACGAACCUCUGGUGUGCCAGUUGUCCUGCCAAGGGCAUGGCUGGUUGGCUACGUUCGGGAGGGAUAACCGCUGAAAGCAUCUAAGCGGGAAGCCUGCUUCGAGAUGAGUAUUCCCACCCCCUUUGAGGGGUUAAGGCUCCCAGUAGACGACUGGGUUGAUAGGCCGGAUCUGGAAGGCGGGUAACCGCUGGAGGUGACCGGUACUAAUAGGCCGAGGGCUUGUCCUCAGUUG